This 118-nucleotide ribosomal RNA is filed under the name uncultured eukaryote. Its description in RNAcentral is "partial small subunit ribosomal RNA". The record is from RNAcentral.
GUUGGUUCUACCUUAAGUCGGUGYGCUAACCCGCAAGGGAGGCAGSCGYCCACGGUMGGGUCAGCGACUGGGGUGAAGUCGUAACAAGGUAGCCGUAGGUGAACCUGCAGAAGGAUCA